This is a long non-coding RNA of Gasterosteus aculeatus aculeatus (three-spined stickleback), 538 nucleotides long. The record is from Ensembl. Lineage: Eukaryota; Metazoa; Chordata; Actinopteri; Perciformes; Gasterosteidae.
AUAGGCAUGACUGAUACAGCAGUACUUGCAAGGCGAGCAUACAAACAGACACGUGUGUUACUAUAUUCAGAAGAACUGUAUCUCCAGUUCCUUUGUUUGGUUUUUGCUGCUUCGUGAAUAAUGGCGGGACGACGUCUCGCGUUCAACUCGCCUUCAACUCCUCUCCGCGGUCACCAACUUUCGGCCAGUCCGCAGACAGACAGAAGAAGCUGCUGAAAGCUCUCAGUGGAUCGUCUCGUCAACUCCAACAACAAACUGCCGAUAUCAACGAGCGGUUCGCUCCACUGGAGCGUUCGGAACUCUGCGGGUUUCUGUCCAUGGAGGAGAGGAACUGACUCAAAGAAGAAGAGACGGGCGCACGAUCCCACGAUAGCGCUGCUGGAAUCGAGACAAAGUGCGCUGGCUGAUGACGAGGUGGAACUCUGGAAAUCCGCCACCGUAGAGCUCACGUCGGACGGAGGGGACGGCGUUGUUGGCGGGGUUCUCGGGUGGAUUGUACGGUCGCCACACGCAGAGCCGCCUGCACAACAGACCUGCC